GACAGUAUGGCCGAGUGGUUAAGGCGGUAGCUUUAGGCGCUAUUGAACGAAAGUUCGCGUGGGUUCGAAUCCCAUUGCUGUCA
Non-coding RNA from Anaeramoeba ignava, 83 nucleotides. The record is from the annotation of a GenBank genome assembly. NCBI's taxonomy places the organism in Eukaryota, Anaeramoebidae.